This 492-nucleotide ribosomal RNA is filed under the name uncultured bacterium. RNAcentral's name for it is "partial 16S ribosomal RNA". It matches the Rfam family "Bacterial small subunit ribosomal RNA", at positions 29 to 507 of the family's 1533-position model. The record is from RNAcentral.
AGUGAACGCUGGCGGUAGGCCUAACACAUGCAAGUCGAACGGCAGCACAGUAAGAGCUUGCUCUUACGGGUGGCGAGUGGCGGACGGGUGAGGAAUACAUCGGAAUCUACUUUUUCGUGGGGGAUAACGUAGGGAAACUUACGCUAAUACCGCAUACGACCUACGGGUGAAAGCAGGGGAUCUUCGGACCUUGCGCGAUUGAAUGAGCCGAUGUCGGAUUAGCUAGUUAGCGGGGUAAAGGCCCACCGAGGCGACGAUCCGUAGCUGGUCUGAGAGGAUGAUCAGCCACACUGGAACUGAGACACGGUCCAGACUCCUACGGGAGGCAGCAGUGGGGAAUAUUGGACAAUGGGCGCAAGCCUGAUCCAGCCAUACCGCGUGGGUGAAGAAGGCCUUCGGGUUGUAAAGCCCUUUUGUUGGGAAAGAAAAGCAGCAGGUUAAUACCCCGCUGUUCUGACGGUACCCAAAGAAUAAGCACCGGCUAACUUCGUG